Molecule: long non-coding RNA, 202 nt
Organism: Telopea speciosissima
Lineage: Eukaryota; Viridiplantae; Streptophyta; Magnoliopsida; Proteales; Proteaceae
Exons: 3
Source: RefSeq, a predicted model, not a curated record
AAGAUGGUUGAGGGGAGGAUAAUAAGAUUAGGGCACGAACAGAUACGGAGGAGAUGGAAAAGAGAUUGCUCAGACAGCCAAGGGUUUGUCUUCAGAUUCAGGGCAAUGCCCAGAUCAGAAACUCUAGUCCACAAUAGCUUCAUCACCGCAUAGAUAUACAAAAAAAAAUACAAAUUUGAACACAAAAACAGAGAGGAAAAUG